AUGAACGCUAGCUACAGGCUUAACACAUGCAAGUCGCGGGGCAGCAUGGGGGUUGCUUGCCAUCCCCGAUGGCGACCGGCGCACGGGUGAGUAACGCGUAUCCAACCUGCCCUUCACCACGGGAUAACCCGGCGAAAGUCGGACUAAUACCGUAUGUUGUCCAUUGACGGCAUCCGAUUUGGACGAAAGGCUUGGCGGUGAGGGAUGGGGAUGCGUCCGAUUAGCCAGACGGCGGGGUAACGGCCCACCGUGGCUACGAUCGGUAGGGGUUCUGAGAGGAAGGUCCCCCACACUGGAACUGAGACACGGUCCAGACUCCUACGGGAGGCAGCAGUGAGGAAUAUUGGGCAAUGGGCGUAAGCCUGAACCAGCCAAGUAGCGUGCAGGAUGACGGCCCUAUGGGUUGUAAACUGCUUUUAUGCGGGGAUAAAGUGGCCCACGUGUGGGCUUUUGCAGGUACCGCAUGAAUAAGGACCGGCUAAUUCCGUG
This 489-nucleotide ribosomal RNA is filed under the name uncultured bacterium. RNAcentral's name for it is "partial 16S ribosomal RNA". It matches the Rfam family "Bacterial small subunit ribosomal RNA", at positions 29 to 507 of the family's 1533-position model. The record is from RNAcentral.